UAAAUUUUCUCCAGUUGGAGAAAAAAUUAAAAACAGACUCAUUUGGUUUAAAACAGUUUGGACACUUAAGCCUUUCCCAGUGUCUUUAAGAGAAUUGUUUCAGUGUUUCAGAUUUCUGCAAACUUCCUCCUCUUACCCAUGGUAAGAAUAUCCUUUUCCCCAUGGACUGAAAUACUUCUGGGAUUAAGUGUGCUCUCACUUCUUUAGCCCUCACUCACUACUUUGACCUCUUGAUCAUCACCGACAUGCUAGCAAUGUGACUUAAUUUGGAGAAAGGUUUAAUCCACUGGGUUGUCUUCUCUAACUUGGUCAGGAUCUAGCAGUAAUCAGUGGCUGAGUUGACCUAAUUUUUUUUUUUUUUUUUUUUUUUUUUUGAGACAGGGUUUUGCUCUGUCACUCAGGCUGGAGUGCAGUGAUGCAAUCAUGGCUCACUGCAGUCGCCACCACACUCACAUAAUUUUUUUAUUUUUUGUAGAGAUGGUUUGGCU
RNAcentral lists this long non-coding RNA (488 nucleotides) under Pan troglodytes (chimpanzee). RNAcentral's name for it is "long non-coding RNA NONPTRT001368". Lineage: Eukaryota; Metazoa; Chordata; Mammalia; Primates; Hominidae. The record is from RNAcentral.